RNAcentral lists this long non-coding RNA (859 nucleotides) under Homo sapiens (human). Its description in RNAcentral is "HSALNT0361338". Lineage: Eukaryota; Metazoa; Chordata; Mammalia; Primates; Hominidae. The record is from RNAcentral.
AAGCCCCGCCCCCCGCGCGUUGCCGGGAGACGGCGCCCAACCUUCCUCUGCAGCGCCCCUACCGACCCGCGCUCCGCAGCUCCUGAGGGCUUUCGAGCCCAGAUGGUCAUCUGAGACGAGAGGUGGCGGCGAAGGAGAGUCUCGCCUGUCACGCUCCCGGAGCAGGGGCUUCAUGAGGUGGCCAUGGAAACAGCCUGGCAGACUCCCAUCUCUCCUGGUGCCAUCUCCGGAGCGGAAAGUGGAGCGCCCCGCUGGCGACCAAGGCCGCACUGAGAGCCCUGGUUUGGUCAACAGUUGGGCUCCAAGAAGUCUCUUCCUUUCACUCUGCUGAGUGAAGCCCUUCCUGCCCUCAGGCUGGACCAUGGCUUCCAUGCUGCCCCUCUUUUCAAGGCUGCUUGUCUACAGUUCUACAGGUUUCUAGGCCCUUGGUGAGUGAAGAGCAGUUCAUUACGAAAUGACCUCCAAGAACAAGGCUCAGCAUUCUCUGAAAUCUCAUGAAGCAGUGUAACCAGCUCUCAAGUAUCUUCCUGUGAACUAGCCACAGGGAGCCCUGGUAUUCCUUGAACAUGCAUACCUUUCCCAGCGUGAGGGACAUGGACCGUGCCGUGCGAGGGACCCCAUCUUCUGCAGCAGGAGGGAGCAGAGAAGAGAACACAGCCACCCUCAUCAGCCAGAGUUCAAACCCUGACAGUGCCCAUGGAGAGAUCUGGUCCAAGGCACCAACCUCUUCCUGCUGGACUGAGAAAGAGCCUCCUACUGUGUCUCUCUUUACCUCAGCUUUUGCACACCUCCAAUAUAUUGUCCACUGAAGUCAGAAUAAUCUAAAAAUAAAGGCUGAUUACCUCAUGUGGUAUAAACU